RNAcentral lists this long non-coding RNA (449 nucleotides) under Pongo abelii (Sumatran orangutan). RNAcentral's name for it is "lincRNA". The record is from RNAcentral. Lineage: Eukaryota; Metazoa; Chordata; Mammalia; Primates; Hominidae.
GGAUUCAGUCCCUUUUUCCAGGGGUAUGUAAGGGGGUCUAGUGUUCUGCUUUGCCAGAGUUGCAUCUGCUUUUGACAGGAAGCCUGGGUACCUAAGUUUCCUGUGGCUCUGUCUGUGUCUGAGUGGCUGCUCUGCUGCGACUCCACAUAGCUCUGUGUGUCAGACUGAAGACCCUUGUGGAGUGGGUUCGUGAAGAAGGCAGAAGAAAUCAGAGAGAAGGAUGGAGUGGGGAAAAGAAGAGGGAGGCUGACAGAGAAGCUUAAAGAAAUGCUUUCAGAUGGCAACAAAAGCCAAAAUAGACAAAUGGGAUUUAAUUAAACUAAAGAGUUUCUGCACAGCAAAAUAAAUUAUCAUCAGAGUGAACAGGCAAUCUACAGAAUGGGAGAAAAUUCUUGCAAUCUAUCCAUUUGACAAAAGGCUAAUAUCCAGAAUCUACAAAGAACUUAAAC